GCCAGUGUGGCAUAGUGGUUGGAGUGUUGGACUACGAUUUUGGAGACCAGGGUUCAAUUCCCAGCUCAUCCA
Molecule: non-coding RNA, 72 nt
Organism: Phrynosoma platyrhinos (Desert horned lizard)
Lineage: Eukaryota; Metazoa; Chordata; Lepidosauria; Squamata; Phrynosomatidae
Source: the annotation of a GenBank genome assembly